This 478-nucleotide ribosomal RNA is filed under the name uncultured bacterium. RNAcentral's name for it is "partial 16S ribosomal RNA". It matches the Rfam family "Bacterial small subunit ribosomal RNA", at positions 28 to 507 of the family's 1533-position model. The record is from RNAcentral.
GACGAACGCUGGCGGCGUGCUUAACACAUGCAAGUCGAACGUGAUUUUUGUGGAAAUUCUUUCGGGAAUGGAAAUGAAAUGAAAGUGGCGAACGGGUAAGUAACACGUGAGCAACCUACCUUACACAGGGGGAUAGCCGUUGGAAACGACGAUUAAUACCGCAUGAGACCACAGAAUCGCAUGAUAUAGGGGUCAAAGAUUUAUCGGUGUAAGAAGGGCUCGCGUCUGAUUAGCUAGUUGGAAGGGUAAAGGCCUACCAAGGCGACGAUCAGUAGCCGGUCUGAGAGGAUGAACGGCCACAUUGGAACUGAGACACGGUCCAAACUCCUACGGGAGGCAGCAGUGGGGAAUAUUGCACAAUGGGGGGAACCCUGAUGCAGCGACGCCGCGUGAGCGAAGAAGGUUUUCGAAUCGUAAAGCUCUGUCCUAUGAGAAGAUAAUGACGGUAUCAUAGGAGGAAGCCCCGGCUAAAUACGUG